This 279-nucleotide long non-coding RNA is filed under the name Erythranthe guttata (spotted monkey flower). RNAcentral describes it as "long non-coding RNA (EGUT_LNC002608)". Lineage: Eukaryota; Viridiplantae; Streptophyta; Magnoliopsida; Lamiales; Phrymaceae. The record is from RNAcentral.
CAUAGCUCUGUUGUGGUGGAGGUCCGUAGUCUUGAUUAGGCCUUGGUGGGGGAGGUCCAUAGCUCUGCUGUGUUGGCCCGUAGUUUUGACGUGGUUGUGGUGGUGGGCCAUAGUUCUGUUGAGGUGGUGGGCCAUAGUUCCGCGGAGGUGGAGGGCCAUAAUUCUGCUGAGGUGGAGGCCCGUUGCUCUGCUGAGGUGGAAGGCCAUAAUUCUGCUGAGCUGGAGGGGCAUAGUUCUGCUGUGGUGGAGGCCCGUAGUUUUGUUGUGGUGGAGGCCCGU